RNAcentral lists this ribosomal RNA (283 nucleotides) under uncultured bacterium. RNAcentral's name for it is "partial 16S ribosomal RNA". It matches the Rfam family "Bacterial small subunit ribosomal RNA", at positions 333 to 633 of the family's 1533-position model. The record is from RNAcentral.
CGGCUCCUACGGGGGGCAGCAGUGGGGGAUAUUGCACAAUGGGGGAAACCCUGAUGCAGCGACGCCGCGUGUGGGAAGACGGUCCUCUGGAUUGUAAACCACUGUCCCCAGGGACGAAAAUGACGGUACCUGGGGAGGAAGCUCCGGCUAACUACGUGCCAGCAGCCGCGGUAAUACGUAGGGAGCGAGCGUUGUCCGGAAUUACUGGGUGUAAAGGGAGCGUAGGCGGGGAUGCAAGUUGGGUGUCACAACUCCCGGCCCACCUGGUAGUCGCACUCCAAAC